Molecule: transfer RNA, 73 nt
Filed under: Gammaproteobacteria bacterium
Lineage: Bacteria; Pseudomonadati; Pseudomonadota; Gammaproteobacteria
Description: tRNA-Lys
Rfam family: tRNA
About the family: Transfer RNA (tRNA) molecules are approximately 80 nucleotides in length. Their secondary structure includes four short double-helical elements and three loops (D, anti-codon, and T loops).
Source: RNAcentral
UCUCCAGUAGCCCAGUUGGUAGAGCAGUUGACUUUUAAUCAAUUGGUCCGUGGUUCGAGUCCGCACUGGGGAG